CUGGUCCAUAUAAUUCUUCGUACGCAGCGGCUAUUUCAUCUUCAGACUCCUGAGGUCCGUCGUCGAAAGAUGGCGGAGGGAUGAAGUCUUCCGGUUUUUCCGGAGGGUCGAAGGUCGUGAUUUCAUCUGGGUCUACAUUGUCGAAGUAUGUGGUGUCGAUAUCGGUAGACUGCGCUCUGAUGGAGGGGAAAUUUAGGGGUUUUGGGAGGGAGAGAGAGUUGGGUAGUUGGUGAGUGGGGAGGAGAGAGAAGCGGCGGAGAGAGAGGGAGGAGAAGGUGGAGGAGAGGGAGGAAGUAAAAGAGGCAGCCAUGGUUAUGGUCGAAGAGAAGGUCGAAGAGGAUA
RNAcentral lists this long non-coding RNA (342 nucleotides) under Lactuca sativa (garden lettuce). RNAcentral's name for it is "long non-coding RNA (LSAT_LNC007072)". Lineage: Eukaryota; Viridiplantae; Streptophyta; Magnoliopsida; Asterales; Asteraceae. The record is from RNAcentral.